This 474-nucleotide ribosomal RNA is filed under the name uncultured Lachnospiraceae bacterium. RNAcentral describes it as "bacterial SSU rRNA". It matches the Rfam family "Bacterial small subunit ribosomal RNA", at positions 217 to 708 of the family's 1533-position model. The record is from RNAcentral. Lineage: Bacteria; Bacillati; Bacillota; Clostridia; Lachnospirales; Lachnospiraceae.
GCUUUAGGAUGGACUCGCGUCCAAUUAGCUAGUUGGUGAGGUAACGGCCCACCAAGGCGACGAUUGGUAGCCGGACUGAGAGGUUGAACGGCCACAUUGGGACUGAGACACGGCCCAGACUCCUACGGGAGGCAGCAGUGGGGGAUAUUGCACAAUGGGGGAAACCCUGAUGCAGCGACGCCGCGUGGAGGAAGAAGGUUUUCGGAUUGUAAGCUCCUGUCGUUAGGGACGAUAAUGACGGUACCUAACAAGAAAGCACCGGCUAACUACGUGCCAGCAGCCGCGGUAAAACGUAGGGUGCAAGCGUUGUCCGGAAUUACUGGGUGUAAAGGGAGCGCAGGCGGGAAGACAAGUUGGAAGUGAAAACCAUGGGCUCAACCCAUGAAUUGCUUUCAAAACUGUUUUUCUUGAGCAGUGCAGAGGUAGAUGGAAUUCCCGGUGUAGCGGUGGAAUGCGUAGAUAUCGGGAGGAACA